AUGCAGUUCCCCCAGGACAGCACAGCUCCCAGAACAGCACGGCUCCCAGGACAGCAUGGUUCCCCGGGAAAGCGCGGCACCCUGCUCCCCGGGACAGCAUGGCUCCCCGGGAAAGCGCGGCACCCCGGGAAAGCGCGGCUCCCUGGGACAGCACGGCUCCCCGGGACAGCACGGCUCCAAGGACAGCAUGGCUCCCCGGGAAAGCGCGGCUCCCCGGGACAGCACGGCUCCCCAGGACAGCACGGCUCCCCAGGACAGCACGGCUCCCAGGACAGCAUGGCUCCCUGGGAAAGUAUGGCUCCCUGGGAAAGCGUGGCUCCCAGGACAGCACGGCUGCCCAGGACAGCACGUCUCCAAGGACAGCACGGCUCCCCGGGACAGCACGGCUCCCCGGGACAGCACGUCUCCAAGGACAGCACGGCUCCCCAGGACAGCACGGCUCCAAGGACAGCACGGCUCCCAGGACAGCACGGCUCCCAGGGACAGCAUGGCUCCCCGGGAUGGCACGGCUCCCAGGACAACGUGGCUCCCAGGGACAGCGCGGCUCCCAGGGACAGCGCGACUCCCCGGGACAGCACAGCCCGGUUCACUUUUGCAGGCCUCAGCCUACACAGAGAGUGGUUUGAUAAAUAUGUGCCCCAGCUCCAUGAGGAUGCGUGGCAGUCGGCACCAUGUCUUGGCAAGGUGGGAAGACAUGAGUGA
RNAcentral lists this long non-coding RNA (702 nucleotides) under Oryctolagus cuniculus (rabbit). RNAcentral describes it as "lncRNA (ENSOCUG00000036034.1)". Lineage: Eukaryota; Metazoa; Chordata; Mammalia; Lagomorpha; Leporidae. The record is from RNAcentral.